Molecule: ribosomal RNA, 468 nt
Filed under: uncultured bacterium
Lineage: Bacteria
Description: partial 16S ribosomal RNA
Rfam family: Bacterial small subunit ribosomal RNA
Source: RNAcentral
GACGAGCGCUGGCGGCGCGCCUAACACAUGCAAGUCGAACGGAGUCAAGAGGAGCUUGCUUUUCUUGACUUAGUGGCGAACGGGUGAGUAACGCGUGAGUAACCUGCCCUGGAGUGGGGGACAACAGUUGGAAACGACUGCUAAUACCGCAUAAGCCCACGGAUCCGCAUGGAUCUGCGGGAAAAGGAUUUAUUCGCUUCAGGAUGGACUCGCGUCCAAUUAGCUAGUUGGUGAGGUAACGGCCCACCAAGGCGACGAUUGGUAGCCGGACUGAGAGGUUGAACGGCCACAUUGGGACUGAGACACGGCCCAGACUCCUACGGGAGGCAGCAGUGGGGGAUAUUGCACAAUGGGGGAAACCCUGAUGCAGCGACGCCGCGUGGAGGAAGAAGGUUUUCGGAUUGUAAACUCCUGUCGUUAGGGACGAUAAUGACGGUACCUAACAAGAAAGCACCGGCUAACUACGUG